RNAcentral lists this ribosomal RNA (465 nucleotides) under uncultured bacterium. RNAcentral describes it as "partial 16S ribosomal RNA". It matches the Rfam family "Bacterial small subunit ribosomal RNA", at positions 28 to 507 of the family's 1533-position model. The record is from RNAcentral.
GACGAACGCUGGCGGCGUGCUUAACACAUGCAAGUCGAACGGAAAGGCCCUGCUUGCAGGGUCCUCGAGUGGCGAACGGGUGAGUAACACGUGGGUGAUCUGCCCUGCACUUCGGGAUAAGCCUGGGAAACUGGGUCCAAUACCGGAUAGGAGCCAUUUUUAGUGUGAUGGUUGGAAAGUUUUUUCGGUGUAGGAUGAGCUCGCGGCCUAUCAGCUUGUUGGGGGGGUAAUGGCCUACCAAGGCGGCGACGGGUAGCCGGCCUGGGAGGGUGGACGGCCACCUUGGGACUGAGAUACGGCCCAGACUCCUACGGGAGGCAGAAGUGGGGAAUAUUGCACAAUGGGCGCAAGCCUGAUGCAGCGACGCCGCGUGGGGGAUGACGGCCUUCGGGUUGUAAACUCCUUUCGCUAGGGACGAAGCUUUUUGUGACGGUACCUAGAUAAGAAGCACCGGCUAACUACGUG